GGUGAACGCUGGCGGCGUGCCUAAUACAUGCAAGUCGAGCGAACAGAUAAGGAGCUUGCUCCUUUGACGUUAGCGGCGGACGGGUGAGUAACACGUGGGUAACCUACCUAUAAGACUGGGAUAACUUCGGGAAACCGGAGCUAAUACCGGAUAACAUUUGGAACCGCAUGGUUCUAAAGUGAAAGAUGGUUUUGCUAUCACUUAUAGAUGGACCCGCGCCGUAUUAGCUAGUUGGUAAGGUAACGGCUUACCAAGGCAACGAUACGUAGCCGACCUGAGAGGGUGAUCGGCCACACUGGAACUGAGACACGGUCCAGACUCCUACGGGAGGCAGCAGUAGGGAAUCUUCCGCAAUGGGCGAAAGCCUGACGGAGCAACGCCGCGUGAGUGAUGAAGGGUUUCGGCUCGUAAAACUCUGUUAUUAGGGAAGAACAAAUGUGUAAGUAACUGUGCACGUCUUGACGGUACCUAAUCAGAAAGCCACGGCUAACUACGUG
This 497-nucleotide ribosomal RNA is filed under the name uncultured bacterium. RNAcentral describes it as "partial 16S ribosomal RNA". It matches the Rfam family "Bacterial small subunit ribosomal RNA", at positions 28 to 507 of the family's 1533-position model. The record is from RNAcentral.